CUAGGUCGUCGGCUGCUUCACAUGCAAGUUCGAGGGGUAUAGUUUCUUCGGAGCUAGAGACCGGCGCACGGGUGCGUAACGCGUAUGCAUUCUACCUUUUACAGAGGGAUAGCCCAUAGAAAUUUGGAUUAAUACCUCAUAGUAUUACGACUCGGCAUCGAGAUGUAAUUAAAGUCACAACGGUAAAAGAUGAGCAUGCGUCCCAUUAGCUAGUUGGUAAGGUAACGGCUUACCAAGGCUACGAUGGGUAGGGGUCCUGAGAGGGAGAUCCCCCACACUGGUACUGAGACACGGACCAGACUCCUACGGGAGGCAGCAGUGAGGAAUAUUGGACAAUGGGCGCAAGCCUGAUCCAGCCAUGCCGCGUGCAGGAUGACGGUCCUAUGGAUUGUAAACUGCUUUUAUACGAGAAGAAACAACUCUACGUGUAGAGUCUUGACGGUAUCGUAAGAAUAAGGAUCGGCUAACUCCGUGCCAGCAGCCGCGGUAAUACGGAGGAUCCAAGCGUUAUCCGGAAUCAUUGGGUUUAAAGGGUCCGUAGGCGGUUUAAUAAGUCAGUGGUGAAAGCCCAUCGCUCAACGGUGGAACGGCCAUUGAUACUGUUAGACUUGAAUUAUUAGGAAGUAACUAGAAUAUGUAGUGUAGCGGUGAAAUGCUUAGAGAUUACAUGGAAUACCAAUUGCGAAGGCAGGUUACUACUAAUGGAUUGACGCUGAUGGACGAAAGCGUGGGUAGCGAACAGGAUUAGAUACCCUGGUAGUCCACGCCGUAACGAUGGAUACUAGCUGUUGGAAGCAAUUUCAGUGGCUAAGCGAAAGUGAUAAGUAUCCCACCUGGGGAGUACGUUCGCAAGAAUGAAACUCAAGGAAUUGACGGGGGCCCGCACAAGCGGUGGAGCAUGUGGUUUAAUUCGAUGAUACGCGAGGAACCUUACCAAGGCUUAAAUGUAGUUUGACCGGUUUGGGAACAGAUCUUUCGCAAGACAAAUUACAGUGCUGCAUGGGUUGUCGUCAGCUCGUGCCGUGAGGUGUCAGGUUAAGUCCUAUACGAGCGCAACCCCUGUUGUAGUGCAGCGAGUCAUGUCGGACUCUAACAAGACUGCAGUGCAAACUGUAGAAAGUGGGGAUGACGUCGAUCAUCACGGCCCUUACGCUUGGGCUACAACGUGCUACAUGCGUACAGAAGAGCCAUGCGACUGGACGAGUCUAUAAACGGUUCAGAUUCGAUCGGAAUCUGUGCCA
This 1241-nucleotide ribosomal RNA is filed under the name Flavobacterium sp. RNAcentral describes it as "bacterial SSU rRNA". It matches the Rfam family "Bacterial small subunit ribosomal RNA", at positions 36 to 1312 of the family's 1533-position model. Lineage: Bacteria; Pseudomonadati; Bacteroidota; Flavobacteriia; Flavobacteriales; Flavobacteriaceae. The record is from RNAcentral.